GAGGGCGCAGCUCAGCGGCGGAGCACCUGCUUAGCACGCACGAGGCCCUGGGUUCAGUCCCCAGCACCUCCA
Camelus ferus (Wild Bactrian camel) is the source of this 72-nucleotide transfer RNA. It matches the Rfam family "tRNA". From Rfam's summary of the family: Transfer RNA (tRNA) molecules are approximately 80 nucleotides in length. Their secondary structure includes four short double-helical elements and three loops (D, anti-codon, and T loops). The record is from Rfam. NCBI's taxonomy places the organism in Eukaryota, Metazoa, Chordata, Mammalia, Artiodactyla, Camelidae.